RNAcentral lists this long non-coding RNA (1613 nucleotides) under Lynx pardinus (Iberian lynx). The record is from RNAcentral. Lineage: Eukaryota; Metazoa; Chordata; Mammalia; Carnivora; Felidae.
CAAGUAAGUGUGGGCCCUGCAAGGGAGGGGGUGGUGGCCAGACUCCCCUGGGGCCCAGCGGCCAGAUCUCCUGCACUGGUUCCCGAGCCUCAGUCCCUCUGCCAGGGAUACACUGAAAUCCGAUCCCGUCCUUUCCCGAGGACCCAAGAACACAGGUCCCUGGCCACCCUACCCCCAAAAGCUCCGCUUCCCGCUUUCUGGCUUUUCCCGCCCCGAUGAAACGCUUGAAUCCAGAUCCCGUUUCUUUGGAGAAGGCAGGCAUCCCAGACCCCGCAUUUGGCACACAUUAUGCAUCUCAGGAUGUGGCUUUCAGCUUCUCUCUCUCUCUCCUCAAGAAACCAGGAGUGCUGGCUGUCCCAGCAGAACCCCAGAAAGCUGCGAUUCGCAGCCAUCACACCCCUUGGUGACUAAGGACGCGAUUGCUGCCUUCCUUGAGAAUAUAACAAGUCUGGGUCCCUAGAACCUCUGCCUUGCAGGCUCCUGGGGUUUCACUCCUUGGCCCCACCCUCUCACGCCUGCGGUGGGGGGCUGUGGCCUGCAGGGCCCUCCUUCCCACACAGCCUUGUUCCUCCCUGCCUGGCUUGCUAUCUGCAGGCGUCUCGGGGUCCCUCACCACCUCUUCAGUCUUGGACCCAGAUCCAUGGGUCUCAGCCACGGGCCCUGCCCUGGCCCCAGCCUCGCCCUCGGGUCCCCCUCCUUUCCUCUUCAGUCCUGGGGACCUGCUCCCUGAAUCAGCAGAAUAUGGCCCUUGGAGGUCCCUGAAGGUGAGUCUCCACCGAGUGAAGGGAAGUACCCCUGAGAGUCUAGCAUUGUUCCUCUUUGCUGCUGCCCUUUUUGGCUCCUUUCUGGCGGGGCUGAGCUGACUGAUGCUCGCCCUACUUUGCAUGAGGCUCUGGGGCAGGAGAGGGGGCACAGAGCCGAAGCAUGUGACAUCACACCUGCUUUUACAGGAGUCUCCUAAGAUCUCCCAACAUUGGAGAGAGCCCAAGCCAAAGGGGAACUUGACAUACCACCAGUACAUGCCCCCGGGGCCGAGACAAGCGUCCAGGGUCGACCCCCAGGCCAAAAUGUUGGCUCUGGGUCCCCCUGGACCACCUCUGUGGGAAGGGACAAACUCCCAGCGGCCACCUCCUAGGUAUGCAUCCCGUUUUCGUUCUCUGCCGGAAAGUCAGGCCCGCAGCAUCUUGGACUCAAACCCAGAGUCCAAGAGCAGGGGAGUCUAGCCCCCAGCCCCUUCCUCUCCCAGUUUCCUGGUCCCUCUCCCGUCAGUUUCCAGGAGUCCUGGCUCCAGACCCAAGACACUGAGCCUCCGGUUCCUGCUCCCCAUGCACAGGGACUAGCCUCGUCGGAGACCCAGAACUUUGGGCCCUCUCCUUCCUCUUCACACGGCCCCCCCCCCCAACAACUACCACAGGAUGAAGCCCAUCCCCCUCACUCCCUCCCCGCCUGGAGUCCCCAGCGCCUCGCCCUCUCCACACAAGUUGGAACUUCAGACCCUUAAACUGGAGGAGCUGACGGUGAGUAUGGGGAGUACUUCCCAGGCUGGCCCUCUCCUUCGGGGGUGGGGGGGUUGCCCAUAAGUCUGAGCCCCCAGUCUCUGCCCCAUUGGAGAC